AGCGCUGUAGCAAUACAGAGCGGCGCACGGGAGAGUAAUACGUGGGAACCUACCCUUUGGUUCGGAAUAACGUCGGGAAACUGACGCUAAUACCGGAUAAGCCCUUCGGGGGAAAGAUUUAUUGCCGAAGGAUGGGCCCAUGUUGGAUUAGCUAGUUGGUGAGGUAACGGCUCACCAAGGCAACGAUCCAUAGCUGGUCUGAGAGGAUGAUCAGCCUCACUGGGACUGAGACACGGCCCAGACUCCUACGGGAGGCAGCAGUGGGGAAUAUUGGACAAUGGGGGCAACCCUGAUCCAGCCAUGCCGCGUGAGUGAUGAAGGCCUUCGGGUUGUAAAGCUCUUUUGGCGGGGACGAUGAUGACGGUACCCGCAGAAUAAGCCCCGGCUAACUUCGUGCCAGCAGCCGCGGUAAUACGAAGGGGGCUAGCGUUGUUCGGAAUUACUGGGCGUAAAGGGCGCGUAGGCGGAUUAGCAAGUUGGGUGUGAAAGCCCAGGGCUCAACCCUGGAAUUGCACUCAAGACUGCUUUUCUUGAAUUCGGUAGAGGUUGGUGGAAUUCCCAGUGUAGAGGUGAAAUUCGUAGAGAUUGGGAAGAACACCCGUGGCGAA
This 608-nucleotide ribosomal RNA is filed under the name uncultured bacterium. Its description in RNAcentral is "bacterial SSU rRNA". It matches the Rfam family "Bacterial small subunit ribosomal RNA", at positions 65 to 719 of the family's 1533-position model. The record is from RNAcentral.